This 124-nucleotide transfer RNA is filed under the name Candidatus Bathyarchaeota archaeon. RNAcentral describes it as "tRNA-Leu". It matches the Rfam family "tRNA". From Rfam's summary of the family: Transfer RNA (tRNA) molecules are approximately 80 nucleotides in length. Their secondary structure includes four short double-helical elements and three loops (D, anti-codon, and T loops). The record is from RNAcentral. RNAcentral also lists the same sequence under 1 other name. Lineage: Archaea; Thermoproteati; Candidatus Bathyarchaeota.
GCGAGGGUGCCCGAGCCAGAUCCAGUGGAUGAGGCUAAGUCAAAGGGGCAGGACUGAGGCUCCUGUGGCGUAGACGUUUAAACGGCGUAAGCCUGCGUGGGUUCAAAUCCCACCCCUCGCACCA